GGCUCAUAUGGUAAAGAAUCUGCUUGCAAUGCAGGAGACCUGGGUUUGAUUCCCAGGUCA
This 60-nucleotide transfer RNA is filed under the name Bos taurus (domestic cattle). RNAcentral also lists the same sequence under 1 other name. The record is from Rfam by way of RNAcentral. Lineage: Eukaryota; Metazoa; Chordata; Mammalia; Artiodactyla; Bovidae.